GUGUAGAUGGAGGCUUCUGGAAGGCUGUGGUCUGGGGGUCUCUUGUGACACGUAUUCACCCAACAGCUGUUGGCUCUGGUGAGCAGCACAUCCUGCCAGGGAACUCUGAGCCAGGCCUGCAGAGCCCACCCGGGAGCAGGCGGGAGUCAGCAUGGGCUCGCAGCCUAUCCUGGAGCCUCGCCGACCUGUUUCCUCCUCAGGCCAAGGAUGACAUGCAAUUUUAACUGACACCAGGCCUGUGGUCUGAUAUCCAGAGUUGCUCAGAAAAGGAGUUGCUAGUUUUACCUGAUAUUUAUGGUCUAAAAACGACCUACCUGGAAUCCCUCUGGAAUCCCUCCUCCUGUGGCUUCAGGCAUUAUCCUAUCUCUGACCCUCUCUUCUGCUUCUCUCGGCCAUAUUGAAGACCCUUGUGAUUUCAUUGGGGCCACCUGGAUACUCCAGGCUAAUCUCCGUAUUUUAAGGUGUGGAUAUGGUCAAAAGCCAAGUUCAUCAAUAGGAAAUUCCUAAUGCAGGAACUUUACCAGCGCUUUCUAGAUGGAGAUCACGGCCCUGUG
This 554-nucleotide long non-coding RNA is filed under the name Homo sapiens (human). RNAcentral describes it as "novel transcript". The record is from RNAcentral. Lineage: Eukaryota; Metazoa; Chordata; Mammalia; Primates; Hominidae.